AGUUUAACGGCCGCGGUAUUCUGACCGUGCAAAGGUAGCAUAAUCACUUGUUCUCCAAAUAAGGACUUGUAUGAAUGGCCACACGAGGGUUUUACUGUCUCUUACUUCCAAUCAGUGAAAUUGACCUUCCCGUGAAGAGGCGGGAAUAAAAAAAUAAGACGAGAAGACCCUAUGGAGCUUUAAUUAACUAUUCCAAAAGUUAAACAAUUCAACCACAAAGGGAUAAAACAUAACUUAACAUGGACUAGCAAUUUCGGUUGGGGUGACCUCGGAGUACAAAAAACCCUCCGAGUGAUUUUAAUCUAGACAAACCAGUCAAAAUAACCAUAACAUCACUUAUUGAUCCAAAACUUUGAUCAACGGAACAAGUUACCCUAGGGAUAACAGCGCAAUCCUAUUCUAGAGUUCCUAUCGACAAUAGGGUUUACGACCUCGAUGUUGGAUCAGGACACCCAAAUGGUGCAACCGCUAUUAAAGGUUCGUUUGUUCAACGAUUAAAGUCCUACGUGAUC
Molecule: ribosomal RNA, 512 nt
Filed under: Sus scrofa (pig)
Lineage: Eukaryota; Metazoa; Chordata; Mammalia; Artiodactyla; Suidae
Description: partial 16S ribosomal RNA
Rfam family: Bacterial large subunit ribosomal RNA
Source: RNAcentral